CUUCGAAAUGAGCGAGCCAGGUGACGUGAUAGUGGAGUGGCCUGAACCAGAACCUCAAGGCAUAAACGUGGAACCUCAAGAAAUGGAUCCUGAAAUAGAGACAAUGUAUGACGUCAGUAUGAAGGCCGGAGAGCAACGCACAUUUAAGGUGGAAUAUAAGACCUUUAAUGGUCCAGCUACCAUCAGUCUGUAUAACGCCGUUAAUAAACCCCACACAGAAUCCCGUCGUACCAGGAAUGGGUUUCUCGAGUUACACCAUACCAAAAGCCACCACAGCACACAGUGGAGCGUACACAGUGGAGAUACUGGAUGAACGCCGUAGAAAGGCAGAAUCACAGAACCCGGUGCGCACUUCAUUCACAGUGAAUGUGAAGAAACCGAAGUACAACUGCAGCAUAGUAUAACGGUUGAAGCUUAACAGUCUCUCAAAAGGUACUUCAACUGAUGAGUAUUCAGCAGAUGCUGCAAGGAGUCGAGACACAAACAACUGACGAUCAACCAGAUCCGCGUAGCACUUCUUAAAUGAACAUUACAGAAUUGGGUUUUGCUAUCAAAACAAUUGCUGGCAGUAAGCACUUUAUGUAAUCCACUAUAUACAUAAACUGACAAACCUGUAGAAGUUAGAUUUCGAUCGGCCAUCUAGUCUAGAUCACGAUAAACUAGUGACAAACCGAUUACACGUUUCACAUGACAUCGAUUAAAAAAAAAAAUAAUAAUAAAACGCUCACUGUGCGGUAAACCCCAAACGGGAAAUAAGUUUUAUUUACUUCUCAUCAAAUAUGAAAUUUUAGGCAGAAAUAUAUUAAAGGAUUUGGGUACCUUUUCAAAAUGUC
Long non-coding RNA from Asterias rubens (European starfish), 833 nucleotides. RefSeq lists it as uncharacterized. The transcript is spliced from 4 exons. NCBI's taxonomy places the organism in Eukaryota, Metazoa, Echinodermata, Asteroidea, Forcipulatida, Asteriidae. The record is from RefSeq and is a predicted model, not a curated record.